RNAcentral lists this ribosomal RNA (99 nucleotides) under Bacteroidales bacterium. RNAcentral's name for it is "partial 16S ribosomal RNA". It matches the Rfam family "Bacterial small subunit ribosomal RNA", at positions 1426 to 1533 of the family's 1533-position model. Lineage: Bacteria; Pseudomonadati; Bacteroidota; Bacteroidia; Bacteroidales. The record is from RNAcentral.
GUACGUGACCGCAAGGAGCGUCCUAAGGUAAAACAAGUAACUGGGGCUAAGUCGUAACAAGGUAGCCGUACCGGAAGGUGUGGCUGGAACACCUCCUUU